This 99-nucleotide small nucleolar RNA is filed under the name Fomitiporia mediterranea MF3/22. Its description in RNAcentral is "Small nucleolar RNA snR60/Z15/Z230/Z193/J17". It matches the Rfam family "Small nucleolar RNA snR60/Z15/Z230/Z193/J17". From Rfam's summary of the family: The members of this family belong to the C/D class of snoRNAs which contain the C (UGAUGA) and D (CUGA) box motifs. Lineage: Eukaryota; Fungi; Basidiomycota; Agaricomycetes; Hymenochaetales; Hymenochaetaceae. The record is from Rfam by way of RNAcentral.
CAAUCAAGAUGAAACGUCGAAAUCAAGCAUAGUUCACACUGAAACUAUUGUGUUGACAAACAUGCAUCUAAUGUCUUUCGCUCCUAUCUGACUCGACUU